Molecule: long non-coding RNA, 2227 nt
Filed under: Triticum aestivum (bread wheat)
Lineage: Eukaryota; Viridiplantae; Streptophyta; Magnoliopsida; Poales; Poaceae
Description: long non-coding RNA (TAES_LNC013716)
Source: RNAcentral
CGGAUGUUCCAAUCGCGCCAGAGCAGGCGGUGAUGCAGAAGGACGGCGACCCAGACGAUAUGCAGGGGUUGCUCGCGGUGCUGGCCUAAUCGGCGAAUGAGGUUGCCGCGGCUGCGGCGCAAGAGGUCGCGGAGGCGGCGCUGGCUGCGACAAAGGCGGUUGUGGCGGAGGAGGACGCCGGUGUGGACUGGGGUAACCUAGAGAAUGCCAGCGACGACGGCGGCGGCGAUGACGACGGCGGCAUGGUGCAGGUCCUCGACCUUGCCACCAGCGACGAGUAGUGGUAGUUUAGGUUUUUUUAAUGUUUAAUUUCCAAUUUCGUUCAAAUCGUUGUAAAAAAAUCCUAAAUAUGAUUGGAAUUUGAAACCUUUUUUAUUCUUCAAAUGUUGUUUUGAAUAUUUGAAAACCCCGACGGCGACCGAGGACAAGUUGCGCCGCCACCCCGACGGCCGGUGGAACAUCAGGAACUGGUGGCGGUGCUGGGAGGCCAAGUGCUUCGACAAUGUCAUCAUUGUGUACCAGCAGGCGGAAAGAGGCUUGAACCCCUUCCUUGCCGACGACGCCGCCGGAGCGGGCUCCUCCCGCGGCCGCACCCGUGCCCCCGUUGCCGCCCCCGCGCCCGCCCCGCCCCUGCCCCGACGGAUGUUCCAAUCGCGCCAGAGCAGGCGGUGAUGCAGCAGGACGGCUACCCAGACGAUAUGCAGGGGUUGCUCGCGGUGCUGGCCUAAUCGGCGAAUGAGGUUGCCGCGGCUGCGGCGCAAGAGGUCACGGAGGCGGCGCUGGCUGCGACAAAGGCGGUUGUGGCGGAGGAGGACGCCGGUGUAGACUGGGGUAACCUAGAGAAUGCCAGCGACGACGGCGGCGACGAUGACGACGGCGGCAUGGUGCAGGUCCUCGACCUCGCCGCGAGUGACGAGUAGUGGUAGUUUAGGUUUUUUUAAUGUUUAAUUUCCAAUUUUGUUCAAAUCGUUGUAAAAAAAUCCUAAAUAUGAUUGGAAUUUGAAACCUUUUUUCAUUCUUGAAAUGUUGUUUUGAAUAUUUGAAAACCCUCGUGAAGGCUUACAAAGUAACACUGUGCGAUGAAGCUAAAAAGAUUUAAAAUAAAAAGGCUUGAACCCCUUCCUUGCCGACGACGCCGCCGGAGCGGGCUCCUCCCGUGGCCGCACCCGUGCCCCCGUUGCCGCCCCCGCGCCCGCCCCGCCCCUGCCCCGACGGAUGUUCCAAUCGCGCCAGAGCAGGCGGUGAUGCAGCAGGACGGCGACCCAGACGAUAUGCAGGGGUUGCUCGCGGUGCUGGCCUAAUCGGCGAAUGAGGUUGCCGCGGCUGCGGCGCAACAGGUCACGGAGGCGGCGCUGGCUGCGACAAAGGCGGUUGUGGCGGAGGAGGACGCCGGUGUGGACUGGGGUAACCUAUAGAAUGCCAGCGACGACGGCCGCGGCGAUGACGACGGCGGCAUGGUGCAGGUCCUCGACCUCGCCGCGAGUGACGAGUAGUGGUAGUUUAGGUUUUUUUAAUGUUUAAUUUCCAAUUUCGUUCAAAUCGUUGUAAAAAAAAUCUUAAAUAUGAUUGGAAUUUGAAACCUUUUUUCAUUCUUGAAAUGUUGUUUUGAAUAUUUGAAAACCCCGACGGCGACCGAGGACAAGCUGCGCCGCCACCCCGACGGCCGGUGGAACAUCAGGAACUGGUGGCCGUGCUGGGAGGCCAAGUGCUUCGACAAUGUCAUCAUUGUGUACCAGCAGGCGGAAAGAGGCUUGAACCCCUUCCUUGCGGACGACGCCGCCGGAGCGGGCUCCUCCCGCGGCCGCACUCGUGCCCCCGUUGCCGCCCCCGCGCCCGCCCCGCCCCUGCCCCGACGGUUGUUCCAAUCCCGCUAGUGCAGGCGGUGAUGCAGCAGGACGACGACCCAGACGAUAUGCAGGGGUUGCUCGCGGUGCUGGCCUAAUCGGCGAAUGAGGUUGCCGCGGUUGCGGCGCAAGAGGUCGCGGAGGCGGCGGUGGCUGCGACAAAGGCGGUUGUGGCGGAGGAGGACGCCGGUGUGGACUGGGGUAACCUAGAGAAUGCCAGCGACGACGGCGGCGGCGAUGACGACGGCGGCAUGGUGCAGGUCCUCGACCUCGCCGCGAGUGACGAGUAGUGGUAGUUUAGGUUUUUUUAAUGUUUAAUUUCCAAUUUCGUUCAAAUCGUUGUAAAAAAAUCCUAAAUAUGAUUGGAAUUUGAAACCUUUUUU